RNAcentral lists this ribosomal RNA (1023 nucleotides) under Lepidotia hispida. RNAcentral's name for it is "partial large subunit ribosomal RNA". It matches the Rfam family "Eukaryotic large subunit ribosomal RNA", at positions 76 to 1107 of the family's 3401-position model. Lineage: Eukaryota; Fungi; Ascomycota; Pezizomycetes; Pezizales; Pezizaceae. The record is from RNAcentral.
UGCCUUAGUAACGGCGAGUGAAGCGGCAAAAGCUCAGAUUUGAAAUCUGGUAUCAUUUUUUGGUGCCCGAGUUGUAAUCUGUAGAGGAGUAUUCGGUUUUGGUCAUGGCUUAAGUUCCUUGGAACAGGACGUCAUGGUGGGUGAGAACCCCGUUUGCGGCCUUUGUCUUCAAAAUCAUGUGAAUCUCCUUCAACGAGUCGAGUUGUUUGGGAAUGCAGCUCUAAAUGGGUGGUAAAUUCCAUCUAAGGCUAAAUAUCUGCAAGAGACCGAUAGCGCACAAGUAGAGUGAUCGAAAGAUGAAAAGAACUCUGAACAGAGAGUUAAAUAGUACGUGAAAUUGUUGAAAGGGAAGCACUUGCUACCAGACGCACUUGCAAUUGAUCAGGCUUGCAUUUUGUAAGCUGCACUCAGUUGUAGGUGGGUCAGCAUCAGUUAUGGCGGUGGGAUAAAGCCUGGAGGAAUGUGGCUCUCUUCGGGGAGUGUUAUAGCCUCUGGUGUAAUACUGCCUGCUAUGACUGAGGAUCGCGCCUUCGGGCGAGGAUGCUGGCAUAAUGGUCGUAAGUGACCCGUCUUGAAACACGGACCAAGGAGUCUAACAUCUAUGCGAGUAUUUGGGCUUUAUAAACCCUUAUGCGAAAUGAAAGUGAAUGGAGGUGGGAACCGCAAGGUGCACCAUCGACCGAUCCUGAUGUCUUCGGAUGGAUUUGAGUAUGAGCAUAGCUGUUGGGACCCGAAAGAUGGUGAACUAUACUUGAAUAGGGUGAAGCCAGAGGAAACUCUGGUGGAGGCUCGCAGCGGUUCUGACGUGCAAAUCGAUCGUCAAAUUUGGGUAUAGGGGCGAAAGACUAAUCGAACCAUCUAGUAGCUGGUUCCGGCCGAAGUUUCCCUCAGGAUAGCAGUAACGAGUUGAAUAGUUUUAUGAGGUAAAGCGAAUGAUUAGAGGCCUUGGGGUUGGAACAACCUUAACCUAUUCUCAAACUUUAAAUAUGUAAGAAGGCCCUGUUGCUUAAUUGAACGGGGUCG